AUUGAACGCUGGCGGCAUGCCUUACACAUGCAAGUCGAACGGCAGCACGGGUGCUUGCACCUGGUGGCGAGUGGCGAACGGGUGAGUAAUACAUCGGAACGUACCUUAUCGUGGGGGAUAACGCAGCGAAAGCUGUGCUAAUACCGCAUACGCCCUGAGGGGGAAAGCGGGGGAUCGAAAGACCUCGCGCGAUUAGAGCGGCCGAUGCCUGAUUAGCUUGUUGGUGGGGUAAAAGCCCACCAAGGCGACGAUCAGUAGCUGGUCUGAGAGGACGAUCAGCCACACUGGGACCGAGACACGGCCCAGACUCCUACGGGAGGCAGCAGUGGGGAAUUUUGGACAAUGGGGGCAACCCUGAUCCAGCAAUGCCGCGUGAGUGAAGAAGGCCUUCGGGUUGUAAAGCUCUUUUGUCAGGGAAGAAACACCGGCUCUAACACAGUCCGGGAAUGACGGUACCUGAAGAAUAAGCACCGGCUAACUAGGUGCCAGCCGCCGCCGUAA
Molecule: ribosomal RNA, 501 nt
Filed under: uncultured bacterium
Lineage: Bacteria
Description: partial 16S ribosomal RNA
Rfam family: Bacterial small subunit ribosomal RNA
Source: RNAcentral